AAUAAUGAAAAAGUUUCAUGUGAUAACUGGAAUUAUAAGUGAUUUCUAUUUGACAUUGUAUAUCUUGGUAAAAUUUGAAGUGAACUACUUCAUUUUUGGAGGACUUUUCCUACUUUUAUUUAAUAAGCAUUUUUAUCACAAAUUAAAGUUUUAAUGUACAUUUUAACUUUCUAUAAACCUGAAAAGGCAUUGCUUCAGAUAUGUGACUUAUUAAUAUUUUCUAUAUAUAAAUAAAAAUGUUUCCUGACCAAACCGGUUUUGCUCAGUGGAUAGAG
Molecule: long non-coding RNA, 275 nt
Organism: Pipistrellus kuhlii (Kuhl's pipistrelle)
Lineage: Eukaryota; Metazoa; Chordata; Mammalia; Chiroptera; Vespertilionidae
Exons: 3
Source: RefSeq, a predicted model, not a curated record